RNAcentral lists this ribosomal RNA (440 nucleotides) under uncultured bacterium. RNAcentral's name for it is "partial 16S ribosomal RNA". It matches the Rfam family "Bacterial small subunit ribosomal RNA", at positions 338 to 795 of the family's 1533-position model. The record is from RNAcentral.
CCUACGGGGUGCUGCAGUGGGGGAUAUUGCACAAUGGGGGAAACCCUGAUGCAGCGACGCCGCGUGUAGGAAGACGGUCCUCUGGAUUGUAAACUACUGUCCCCAGGGACGAAGAUGACGGUACCUGGGGAGGAAGCUCCGGCUAACUACGUGCCAGCAGCCGCGGUAAUACGUAGGGAGCGAGCGUUAUCCGGAUUUAUUGGGUUUAAAGGGUGCGUAGGCGGAAGGUUAAGUCAGCGGUCAAAUGUCGGUGCUCAACACCGGCCUGCCGUUGAAACUGGUCUUCUUGAGUGAGCGAGAAGUAUGCGGAAUGCGUGGUGUAGCGGUGAAAUGCAUAGAUAUCACGCAGAACUCCGAUUGCGAAGGCAGCAUACCGGCGCUCAACUGACGCUGAGGCACGAAAGCGUGGGGAUCGAACAGGAUUAGAUACCCUAGUAGUC